RNAcentral lists this ribosomal RNA (495 nucleotides) under uncultured bacterium. Its description in RNAcentral is "bacterial SSU rRNA". It matches the Rfam family "Bacterial small subunit ribosomal RNA", at positions 30 to 527 of the family's 1533-position model. The record is from RNAcentral.
AUUGAACGCUGGCGGAAUGCUUUACACAUGCAAGUCGAACGGCAGCACGGGGCAACCUGGUGGCGAGUGGCGAACGGGUGAGUAAUAUAUCGGAACGUGCCCAAUCGUGGGGGAUAACGUAGCGAAAGUUACGCUAAUACCGCAUACGAUCUACGGAUGAAAGCGGGGAUCGCAAGACCUCGCGCGAAUGGAGCGGCCGAUAUCAGAUUAGGUAGUUGGUGGGGUAAAGGCUCACCAAGCCAACGAUCUGUAGCUGGUCUGAGAGGACGACCAGCCACACUGGAACUGAGACACGGUCCAGACUCCUACGGGAGGCAGCAGUGGGGAAUUUUGGACAAUGGGCGCAAGCCUGAUCCAGCCAUUCCGCGUGCAGGAUGAAGGCCUCGGUUGUAAACUGCUUUGUACGACGAAACGGUCUGCCUAAUACGCAGGCUAAUGACGGUACCGUAACGAAUAAGCACCGGCUAACUACGUGCCAGCAGCCGCGGUAAUACG